GACGAACGCUGGCGGCGUGCUUUACACAUGCAAGUCGAACGAGAACCUUCCUUCGGGAAGCAGAGAGUGGCGAACGGGUGAGUAACACGUGGGCAACCUACCCCUCACACUGGGAUAACCUCGGGAAACCGGGGCUAAUACCGGAUACUCACGACCUCGGGCAUCCGAGGACGUGGAAAGGAUUCUGGUGAGGGAUGGGCCCGCGGCCUAUCAGUUUGUUGGUGGGGUAAUGGCCUACCAAGACGACGACGGGUAGCCGGCCUGAGAGGGCGACCGGCCACACUGGGACUGAGACACGGCCCAGACUCCUACGGGAGGCUGCAGUGGGGAAUAUUGCGCAAUGGACGAAAGUCUGACGCAGCAACGCCGCGUGAGGGAUGAAGUACAUCGAGAUGUAAACCUCUUUCAGUAGGGACGAAGCGAAAGUGACGGUACCUGCAAAAGAAGCGCCGGCUAACUACGUG
RNAcentral lists this ribosomal RNA (464 nucleotides) under uncultured bacterium. Its description in RNAcentral is "bacterial SSU rRNA". It matches the Rfam family "Bacterial small subunit ribosomal RNA", at positions 28 to 507 of the family's 1533-position model. The record is from RNAcentral.